This 467-nucleotide ribosomal RNA is filed under the name uncultured bacterium. RNAcentral's name for it is "bacterial SSU rRNA". It matches the Rfam family "Bacterial small subunit ribosomal RNA", at positions 28 to 507 of the family's 1533-position model. The record is from RNAcentral.
GAUGAACGCUGGCGGCGUGCUUAACACAUGCAAGUCGAACGGACUUUUAAUGAAGCCUAGCGAUUUAAAGUUAGUGGCGGACGGGUGAGUAACGCGUGGGUAACCUGCCUUAUACAGGGGGAUAACACUUAGAAAUAGGUGCUAAUACCGCAUAAGCGCACAGUAUCGCAUGAUACAGUGUGAAAAACUCCGGUGGUAUAAGAUGGACCCGCGUCUGAUUAGCUAGUUGGUGAGGUAACGGCUCACCAAGGCGACGAUCAGUAGCCGGCCUGAGAGGGUGAACGGCCACAUUGGGACUGAGACACGGCCCAAACUCCUACGGGAGGCAGCAGUGGGGAAUAUUGCACAAUGGGGGAAACCCUGAUGCAGCGACGCCGCGUGAGUGAAGAAGUAUUUCGGUAUGUAAAGCUCUAUCAGCAAGGAAGAAAAUGACGGUACUUGACUAAGAAGCCCCGGCUAACUACGUG